GACGAAGGUGUUGUUCCGUUGGUGAUGGUGAGUCCAGUCCAGUCGCGGGAAGAAACACUUUUCCACUUUUGUGUCACUUUGGUUCACUAGUCACUUGGGAGACGUCCUGGGA
Molecule: non-coding RNA, 112 nt
Organism: Bombyx mori (domestic silkworm)
Lineage: Eukaryota; Metazoa; Arthropoda; Insecta; Lepidoptera; Bombycidae
Source: RefSeq, marked provisional